GUCCACGCCGUAAACGAUGGAUACUAGCUGUUGGGGCAACUUCAGUGGCUAAGCGAAAGUGAUAAGUAUCCCACCUGGGGAGUACGUUCGCAAGAAUGAAACUCAAAGGAAUUGACGGGGCCCGCACAAGCGGUGGAGCAUGUGGUUUAAUUCGAUGAUACGCGAGGAACCUUACCAAGGCUUAAAUGUAGAUUGACCGGUUUGGAAACAGACUUUUUGCAAGACAAUUUACAAGGUGCUGCAUGGUUGUCGU
Molecule: ribosomal RNA, 253 nt
Filed under: uncultured bacterium
Lineage: Bacteria
Description: partial 16S ribosomal RNA
Rfam family: Bacterial small subunit ribosomal RNA
Source: RNAcentral